This 355-nucleotide transfer-messenger RNA is filed under the name Ureibacillus galli. RNAcentral describes it as "Standard tmRNA". It matches the Rfam family "transfer-messenger RNA". From Rfam's summary of the family: Bacterial tmRNA, also known as 10Sa RNA or SsrA, is named for its dual tRNA and mRNA-like properties. Its role is to liberate the mRNA from a stalled ribosome. To accomplish this part of the tmRNA is used as a reading frame that ends in a translation stop signal. Lineage: Bacteria; Bacillati; Bacillota; Bacilli; Caryophanales; Caryophanaceae. The record is from RNAcentral.
GGGGACGUUACGGAUUCGACAGGGAUGGUUCAAGCUUGAGCUGCGCGUCGGAGGUCUCGGCUCCGUCAUCAACGGAAGUUAUAUAAUAACUGGCAAACAACAAAAUUUAGCUUACGCAGCUUAGUCUCGUAGCGCUCCGCCUCUCUAUCGCCCAUGUAGAGAACGUGGGGCUCAACUUUAGUGGGAUACGGUCGGUGGUGCCGCUUGAGUCACCGUCAAGAGAUUUCCAAGCUAGCGUGCAGGACGCCUGUUUGUCGGCAUAAUGACACGCGAAUUGUAAAUAGGCAAACUACACGCGUAGAAGCUUGAGUAUUGGAGUUUCUGGACGCGGGUUCGACUCCCGCCGUCUCCAUAC